UACGAAGGGGGCUAGCGCUGCUCGGAAUCACUGGGCGUAAAGCGCACGUAGGCGGAUUGCUAAGUCAGGGGUGAAAUCCUGGAGCUCAACUCCAGAACUGCCCUUGAUACUGGCGGUCUCGAGUCCGGGAGAGGUGAGUGGAACUGCGAGUGUAGAGGUGAAAUUCGUAGAUAUUCGCAAGAACACCAGUGGCGAAGGCGGCUCACUGGCCCGGUACUGACGCUGAGGUGCGAAAGCGUGGGGAGCAAACAGGG
Molecule: ribosomal RNA, 254 nt
Filed under: uncultured bacterium
Lineage: Bacteria
Description: partial 16S ribosomal RNA
Rfam family: Bacterial small subunit ribosomal RNA
Source: RNAcentral